AAAUUUUUUUGGGCACCCUGUAUAAUUAAUCAUGUUAAUGUUUAUAUUACUGAAUAGGGAAUUGAAUAACCUUUCAAAUGAGCUAGAACUCGACCCCUAUUCCCAUUUAAAAAAUAGUCGAUUACGUCAUCACGCCUAAAUGGAUGACGUCACUAGUACGAUAUAUAUGUCAAAAAAUCAUAAUUAAAAAAUCGAAUAACUUUUGUAUUUUACAUUUUUUUCUAAUUCUGUAAAUAAAGCAGUUUACGAGGGGGUCAAAAUAUAGUGAAUAACCCUGUACAUUCAUUGGGGCCACAAGAAUCUACAGGUCGAGCAAGUCUCGUAAAUUUCACGAUUGCGAGCCACGCUUCACGCAACCGUGUUUGCGUACUUGUGUUUCGAGUUGCGUGGUCGUGCGGAGUUAUAUCAAAAUUAUCAAAUACCAAUAUGUCAAUAUGGCUACUGGGUGUAAAAGAUAAAUCUUAUUCUAUCUGUUCUUAAUGAGUUUUAGAUAAUUUUAGUUGUAUUUCUUUGUAAUUUUGUGUUGUACAAAGAUUAAUUUAACAUUUUCUCUGGAAGUAUUAAUUUAGAAAGAUAAUAUGCUUCAUUGGUGUUGUGUUUUGAAGUGUGAAAUGCAAAGUAAUUGUGAUAGUCAAGAUAAAGUUCACUUUUAAACUGAACUAAAUAAGGUAUCUGAGAGACAACAAUGGUUAAAUGCAAUACAAUGUACAGGUUUUACUAGCGAAAUGAAAAUUUUCCUGUCCUGUCUGCUGUAAUCAUUUUAUAUCUGGAAAACCAGCCGACUUAAUCGAUAAUAACAAUCUCCAGAUUGGGUUCCUUCAAUAAAUAUGGGCUAUAAACACAAUGAAAUAAGUUCCCCAAAAUCUAAAAUGGAGUGGUAUCAAAGGAGAAUUAAAGGGAAAAAUAUUCAUAUUGAAAUUAUUUAUAAGGCACUGGACUGUCUUAAAUUCUACAAUAAUACUAGAAUCAGCUGAGAGAAGUGGUCUACAAAAAACCAGGAAGGAAACGGAAUAUGUGGCUACGAAAGGCAAAAGAAAGGUUUACAAAGCAAAUGUGACACAUUUUUUUGAAAUAUUUAGGAGUAUCAGUAAAUUGCAUUAAAAAAAUGUAUGAAAAGAUUUUGUUCAAUAAAAAUGUUUAUAUUUA
Long non-coding RNA from Diabrotica virgifera virgifera (western corn rootworm), 1146 nucleotides. RefSeq lists it as uncharacterized. NCBI's taxonomy places the organism in Eukaryota, Metazoa, Arthropoda, Insecta, Coleoptera, Chrysomelidae. The transcript has 3 exons. The record is from RefSeq and is a predicted model, not a curated record.